CUUGGGUACUCGAGUGGCGAACGGGUGAGUAACACGUGGGUGAUCUGCCCUGCACUUCGGGAUAAGCCUGGGAAACUGGGUCUAAUACCGGGUAGGACCACAUUUUGGAUGGUGUGGUGGAAAGUUUUUCGGUGUGGGAUGAGCUCGCGGCCUAUCAGCUUGUUGGUGGGGUAAUGGCCUACCAAGGCGUCGACGGGUAGCCGGCCUCGAGAGGGUGUACGGCCACAUUGGGACUGAGAUACGGCCCAG
RNAcentral lists this ribosomal RNA (249 nucleotides) under uncultured Actinomycetales bacterium. Its description in RNAcentral is "partial 16S ribosomal RNA". It matches the Rfam family "Bacterial small subunit ribosomal RNA", at positions 82 to 334 of the family's 1533-position model. The record is from RNAcentral. Lineage: Bacteria; Bacillati; Actinomycetota; Actinomycetes; Actinomycetales.